GAUAGAAUUCGCAAGGAAGCUAGAAACAUGUAGACCCGAAUUCUCAAUAGAGGAUAUAUCCAAUAGAAACUUACAAUCAUCCUCUAUAUAUUUCUUGAUCUUAACAUAAUCCUCCUCAAGUUCAUUUCCAGAUGAUCCACCAACGACUCCAGACGGAUUUUGCGGGAUAACUUUUUGGAUCAAAGGUCCCACUAUAGUCGAUCGAAAAGUUUCCUCAGCAUUCUUGGUAUUAUCAAUAGCAGCAU
RNAcentral lists this unclassified non-coding RNA (245 nucleotides) under Hevea brasiliensis (rubber tree). The record is from RNAcentral. Lineage: Eukaryota; Viridiplantae; Streptophyta; Magnoliopsida; Malpighiales; Euphorbiaceae.